UCUACGGGAGGCAGCAGUGGGGAAUAUUGCACAAUGGGGGAAACCCUGAUGCAGCAACGCCGCGUGAAGGAAGACGGUUUUCGGAUUGUAAACUUCUGUUCUUAGUGAAGAAUAAUGACGGUAGCUAAGGAGCAAGCCACGGCUAACUACGUGCCAGCAGCCGCGGUAAUACGUAGGUGGCAAGCGUUAUCCGGAUUUAUUGGGUGUAAAGGGCGUGUAGGCGGGAGCGCAAGUCAGAUGUGAAAACUCAGGGCUCAACCCUGAGCCUGCAUUUGAAACUGUGUUUCUUGAGUGCUGGAGAGGCAAUCGGAAUUCCGUGUGUAGCGGUGAAAUGCGUAGAUAUACGGAGGAACACCAGUGGCGAAGGCGGAUUGCUGGACAGUAACUGACGCUGAGGCGCGAAAGCGUGGGGAGCAAACAGGAUUAGAUACCCGAGUAGUC
This 441-nucleotide ribosomal RNA is filed under the name uncultured bacterium. RNAcentral describes it as "partial 16S ribosomal RNA". It matches the Rfam family "Bacterial small subunit ribosomal RNA", at positions 338 to 795 of the family's 1533-position model. The record is from RNAcentral.